CAUGGAGGGACUUGGGCCAUAUAGGGACAUGGAUGGGGGUCAUAUAGGGACAGGGACUGUAUAGGGACUUGGGCCAUAUAGGGACUCAGGCCAUAUAGGGACAGGGACUGUAUAGGGUCUUGGGCCAUUUAGGGACAGGGACCAUAUAGGGACUUGGGCCAUAUAGGGACAUGGACGGGGGCCAUAUAGGGACAGGGACCGUGUAGGGACUUGGGCCAUGUAGGGACAGAGACAGGGCCAUAUAGGGACUUGAGCCAUAUAGGGAUGGGACCAUAGAGACUUGGGCCAUUUAGGGACAGGGACCAUAUAGGGAUUUGGCCCAUACAGGACCACAGGACCCGGUGUGACAGG
This is a long non-coding RNA of Passer domesticus (house sparrow), 351 nucleotides long. RefSeq lists it as uncharacterized. Lineage: Eukaryota; Metazoa; Chordata; Aves; Passeriformes; Passeridae. The record is from RefSeq and is a predicted model, not a curated record. The transcript has 3 exons.